This is a long non-coding RNA of Vicia villosa (hairy vetch), 430 nucleotides long. RefSeq lists it as uncharacterized. The transcript has 3 exons. NCBI's taxonomy places the organism in Eukaryota, Viridiplantae, Streptophyta, Magnoliopsida, Fabales, Fabaceae. The record is from RefSeq and is a predicted model, not a curated record.
CAGCUUCGAGUUUUCAGCGGCCAUGGAAUGAGCUUGAAGAACUCAGGUAUGUUUCUUCCCAAAUUUCGUUUUUGUUUUCUUUUUAAUGAUAGCUCAAUAAUCGCUCAUUCAUCUUUCUCGGUUACUCACUGUGAACAAACAAUGACAACAACCUCUCGGUGCCGCUCUCGGCUUUCUCUGAGUUUAUGAAGAACAAUAACAGCAACUACCGAAAAGAAGAUCUACGGCAGCCGUGGGAGGAGUUCUCAUAGAGUUACAGCAUCAAUUGGCAGUGAGUGAUAUAAGAGUGGAAGUAGAAAGAACUUACCUGCGGCAAAGAGGUUUUUUGCCGGAUUUAUGGCCGAGAAAGUUUGUUGAUUGAAGGUGGUAUGAAGAUGAAAGUUGGAUGAUGAGGAUGAUUGAUGCGUUGAUACGGGGCUGCAACUAGAGG